UUUCAUUUUCGAACUUAAGUGCUGAAAACGCAAAGGCGUAAUUUCGUGCCCUCUGUGGUCGCCUUAACCGUGCGGUUCCAUAUUCGUGUGUUUCACAAGCAUCGUGUUUCACUUUUAUCUCAACAGUUUGUGUCUUUACCAUCGCGUCUCCGUUCGUUAGAUCGUUCGUGCGUUAUGGCUUUGUAGGUGAGGAUUCUCGUGUUACGGAUCAAACACUAAAUGAAUGGCACAAAAUGAAUGGCCAAGGUCUAUAUAGGAUGUUCCACCGACCAAUAAAAGGAUGCCACCAUUGUCGAAUUUCCGGCUGACGAAGGCACUGCUUCAGCAAAGGGUGAAGGAUAAUGUGACUAUAAACCAGCAACUAUGGUUGGAGCUAUAUGUAGUGCACACAACAUUUCAAUAUGGUGGAACUGAAGGAAAGCGCCAUCGUCUAUGAGAAGCCAUGUUUUUCCUUCAUCCACCAGAAUACUAUAAUACUCCAGGGAAUUUUUGGAAGUUUAUUUUGCGGACAUUAAGAGCUGCCACAUCAAUAAAUACUCUUCACAUAAGAAUUUUAGUUUAGAAUUAAAUUGUAAAGUCGUUUUGAGAAUUUUUUGAUAGAUUUUACUUUUUGGCCAUUUUUGGUCAUUUUUGGGAAAAAGGCCCAUUUGUGGGCUGACUUAAGUUUUAGUGCAAAGGAGGGGGUAGACCUUAGGAACAUUUUUCAUUCUCUCAUUUUCAUGCUCUUGGUUUUGGACAACAAAGGGAGUUUUCUCCCAUAGGUAUCACUUUACAUUUUUCAGCACUUUGAAUUGGAGUAAUUUAAUUUGGAUUCCUGCACUUGGUUUGUCAAUUAUUUUCAUUUU
Vigna radiata var. radiata (mung bean) is the source of this 845-nucleotide long non-coding RNA. RefSeq lists it as uncharacterized. Lineage: Eukaryota; Viridiplantae; Streptophyta; Magnoliopsida; Fabales; Fabaceae. The record is from RefSeq and is a predicted model, not a curated record. The transcript is spliced from 4 exons.